UUUCACCAAUCCAUUGGAACUCAUCAGUCCCAUGGACAUCUCUAGAACUCUGGCAUGGUGAAUCAUUGUGGAACGAAAAGAACUUGUUCACUGACUGUGUUGAUGUGCAUCUGUGCAGGAAGGGUAUAGAAGAAGAAUCGAAGCUGGCAAGAAAAUCAGCAACAUACCUAUUGACAUGAUCUAUACAUCUGGACUGAUGCAUGCACAGAUGACUGCCAUGCCUGCCAGGACAUAGCACCUUUGUAAGAAGGGGUUGAUGUUAAAUGUGAAGAGAUAAUUGAAGCAACCUCAACUGGCUCCAGUUCAAUGAUUUCCAAGAUUGUUCAAAUGAACAUCACUGACAGAUUCAUUGACAGAUAUGAAAUUAUAUAAAAGUUGCUGGAGGAGAGGUAGCAGAUGCAGCUAUGGGGAGGAACAUGAAGAGAUUUAUGUUUUUUUAUGUUGUAUUUUAUUUGAAGUUGUAUAUGAAUUGUACAGUAUAUUUUAGAAUUAUACAGUACAUUUUGGUGGGCCAAAUUGUUAA
Molecule: long non-coding RNA, 523 nt
Organism: Rosa rugosa (rugosa rose)
Lineage: Eukaryota; Viridiplantae; Streptophyta; Magnoliopsida; Rosales; Rosaceae
Exons: 4
Source: RefSeq, a predicted model, not a curated record